GCCGGGAUGGCGGAAUUGGUAGACGCGAUGGACUCAAAAUCCAUUGUCUGUAUAGACGUGCGGGUUCAAGUCCCGCUCCCGGUA
This 84-nucleotide transfer RNA is filed under the name Acidimicrobiia bacterium. RNAcentral describes it as "tRNA-Leu". It matches the Rfam family "tRNA". Rfam says of the family: Transfer RNA (tRNA) molecules are approximately 80 nucleotides in length. Lineage: Bacteria; Bacillati; Actinomycetota; Acidimicrobiia. The record is from RNAcentral.